AAUGAAAUUAACGCAUAUUUAGACCAAUAAGACUUCGUCUGGAAUUGCGGAAAGAUUGCGUUACGUGCGGUGAGAAACGACGAUGGAAAAAUACAAUGUUUGUUUCCGUACGUAAUAUUGCGUUUCGUAUAUUGCGGUUAGUCGGUUAUGAUAUAUUUUCUGCGGUUCCAUCGGAGAACGCAGAAACAUAUUACUAUAUACUUUUUCUCAACUCUAUUCUAUCUAAUAGCGGUAGAUCCACCUCGUCAAUACCAAAUUAAGCCUAACAACUGUAAGGCUAAUGCAUCAAACUACUGCGAACGUCAUCCGUGCUCUUGAACGCAUCAAACUACUGACGAACUCCUGGUCUAUGCUCAGUUGAUGACACCAGCUCUCCCAUUCUUUUCUUUUUUCUUGUUCUAUCGUUUUUUCCUUCCUGCUACUUUACUUACUUUUUUUUAUCGCUUUUUCGGAGGCCCUAGCUGUUUCCAUAAUAUACGCUUAGUUCAUACUGCUUAAUGAAUGAAGCUGGUAGCUUGCUACCUUUUUCUCAAAAAAAAAAAAAUAAUAACAACUUUAAGGCUAAUACUAAGGGCUUUUUCAAACUUUUGCAUCAAGAUAAGAAAAAGAAAACAGAAGAGGAUCGAAACUAAAGGCGUGUAGAGAUAGAGAGAUAGAGAGAGCAUCAUCCCAAAUGAUCUAGGUCUGAGUUUCAUCAUUACAAAAUAAUGUCACAUUUCUAAUGAGAGCUUUUUUUGCAUUUAGACCCCUGGCAAAUUUUUAUUUUUAAAAUAGUCCUGUCAAAAUUUAAUUUGCAAAAAUGGUCCUGGGCCUGCCACGCAGGCGCCACGUCAGCGCCACGCGGGCAGGACCGGGCCCAUGUGUUAAGUUGAACACGGUGAAUCAUUCACCGUGUUCAAACACGGUGAACGGUUUACCGUAUUUAGCACGUAUUUUUUUUAUAUUGAAAAGAGAAAUAAGGAAUAGGGAUGUCAAUAGAUAUGGAUAUCCGAAAUAUUAUCCGAAUUCAAACCCGAAUAAAUUUUAUAU
This 1029-nucleotide long non-coding RNA is filed under the name Ananas comosus (pineapple). RNAcentral describes it as "long non-coding RNA (ACOM_LNC002559)". Lineage: Eukaryota; Viridiplantae; Streptophyta; Magnoliopsida; Poales; Bromeliaceae. The record is from RNAcentral.